Non-coding RNA from Schistosoma curassoni, 76 nucleotides. The record is from Rfam. Lineage: Eukaryota; Metazoa; Platyhelminthes; Trematoda; Strigeidida; Schistosomatidae.
AGCUGUCUGUAUCCGUGCUGAGGUUUUGUCACACACCAAACCAAAAGGGCUGAUGAGACUCCCAAGGGAAGCGGUU